CCUGAUGAAGAAGGCCUUCGGGUGUAAGCUCUUUCAGUGAAAGAAGCGAUGGUAAUACCUGUCCGAUGACGUACACAGAGAGCACGCUAACUACGUGCCAGCAGCGCGUAAUACGUAGGGUGCGAGCGUAAUCGGAAUUACUGGGCGUAAAGCGUGCGCAGGCGGUUGUGUAAGACAGGUGUGAAAUCCCCGGGCUUAACCUGGGAACUGCGCUUGUGACUGCACAGCUAGAGUACGGCAGAGGGGGGUAGAAUUUCCACGUGUAGCAGUGAAAUGCGUAGAGAUGUGGAGGAAUACCGAUGGCGAAGGCAGCCCCCUGGGCCUGUACUGACGCUCAUGCACGAAAGCGUGGGGAGCAAACAGGAUUAGAUACCCUGGUAGUCCACGCCCUAAACGAUGUCAACUAGUUGUUCGGAAGGGAAACUUUCUGAGUAACGCAGCUAACGCGUGAAGUUGACCGCCUGGGGAGUACGGCCGCAAGGUUAAAACUCAAAGGAAUUGACGGGGACCCGCACAAGCGGUGGAUGAUGUGGAUUAAUUCGAUGCAACGCGAAAAACCUUACCUACCCUUGACAUGUCUGGAACUUGUGAGAGAUCACUUGGUGCCUUCGGGAGCCAGAACACAGGUGCUGCAUGGCUGUCGUCAGCUCGUGUCGUGAGAUGUUGGGUUAAGUCCCGCAACGAGCGCAACCCUUGUCGUUAAUUGCCAUCAUUAAGUUGGGCACUUUAGCGAGACUGCCGGUGACAAACCGGAGGAAGGUGGGGAUGACGUCAAGUCCUCAUGGCCCUUAUGGGUAGGGCUUCACACGUCAUACAAUGGUCGGUACAGAGGGUUGCCAAGCCGCGAGGUGGAGCUAAUCCCAGAAAGCCGAUCGUAGUCCGGAUUGUAGUCUGCAACUCGACUGCAUGAAGUCGGAAUCGCUAGUAAUCGCAGAUCAGCAUGCUGCGGUGAAUACGUUCCCGGGUCUUGUACACACCGCCCGUCACACCAUGGGAGUGGGUUUCACCAGAAGUAGGUAGCUUAACCUUCGGGAGGGCGCUUACCACGGUGAGAUUCAUGACUGGGGUGAAGUCGUAACAAGGUAACCGAAUCUCUGAAGAUCGCGCU
This 1108-nucleotide ribosomal RNA is filed under the name uncultured bacterium. RNAcentral's name for it is "bacterial SSU rRNA". It matches the Rfam family "Bacterial small subunit ribosomal RNA", at positions 400 to 1533 of the family's 1533-position model. The record is from RNAcentral.